UGGGGAAUUUUGCGCAAUGGGCGAAAGCCUGACGCAGCAACGCCGCGUGGAGGAUGAAGGUCCUCGGAUCGUAAACUCCUGUCAGCAGGGACGAAUGCUUCGUAAGAAGUUUGACUGUACCUGCUGAGGAAGCCACGGCUAACUCCGUGCCAGCAGCCGCGGUAAUACGGAGGUGGCAAGCGUUGUUCGGAAUUACUGGGCGUAAAGGGCGCGUAGGCGGCAUUGCAAGUCAGAUGUGAAAGCCCCGAGCUUAACUUGGGAAUUGCAUCUGAAACUGCUUUGCUUGAGUCCUGGAGGGGGUAGUGGAAUUCCCAGUGUAGCGGUGAAAUGCGUAGAUAUUGGGAGGAACACCUGCGGCGAAGGCGGCUACCUGGACAGUGACUGACGCUGAGGCGCGAAAGCUAGGGGAGCGAACG
Molecule: ribosomal RNA, 416 nt
Filed under: uncultured prokaryote
Description: bacterial SSU rRNA
Rfam family: Bacterial small subunit ribosomal RNA
Source: RNAcentral